ACCUUCCAAGUCAUUUUCAUCUUGCUUUUUUGAUAAAAUUGCAAUGCAUAUUCUUUUUUCUACUGGAUUAAAAAAGCACUCAAGGCUGAGCCCUAAUAUAAACCUAUCCUUAUAGGAAAGUCCUUUGUCUCACCUCCAAGGAGUUCUAACACUAGUAAUUACCCCAUCAUACAUGUCUUGUGUAGCCUUAACAUAAGUCAAGAAACGGACACUUUUCUUGGCAUUCCAUCAUAUGUUUUUUCCUAUCAAUAAAAACCAUAUCUAAGUCUUUUCUUUGUUUGUUUUGAUACAUUUUUAUCAAGUCUCAGAAAAGAUAAAUGACUUGUUGUAUACCUUCCUAACAUGAAACCAAAUUGAUUCUCCAAAAUCGUAUCUUUUCUCUUAAAUUAUCGCUCAAUCACCUUUUCCUAUAAUUUGAUGGUGCGACUCAUAAGUUUUAUUCCUCCAUACCAUAGUUUACACAACUCUGAAUAUCUCCCUUGUUUUUAAAUAUAUGAACCAAAUUGCCCCUCUUCUGAAUUUUGCUCAUCUGGCAUUUUCUUAAAUUUCAAAAUCUCAUUAAAUAGAUAGUUAUGUUGAUGAUAAAUUAAUUUUAAAAUAACAAAAGAAAACUGAAUGCAAAAUCAGCUUUAAUAAAAUUUAUUACUCAAUAACUUAAAUUAAUAAUUAGCAAAACUUAUUAAAGGUAUAAAUUUUUCUUGUGGCCAUAGGUGACAUGGGAGCAUUAUUAGGCUAUUUGUCUUGGCUCAUUUGCCUAUGGCCGUGCACGGUCCUGGGUUCUGUCUAUGUCUUGUGUGUUCUUAUAAAUACCUGUAAUUAAGAAUGAUUGAUUAUUGUAUAAAAAAAAUGCACAGACAUUUGUAGCUAUUAAUUACUCUCCCAAGUCAAAGUGUGGUCUUUUAUGCAACCAAAAAGUUUAGGUGUGCUGGAUAUAAGAAUGAAAGGAAAUAUCUAUCAUGUAGAUGUAGAUUGAGCAAGUAAUUGUGACAUGGGUAAUAAAACUUGUAUUUUCUAAAUUUGUUAGAUCAACAUAUCAGGGAGGUGAAAUAAAAGAUAAACAUAUUAUAUUAAUACAUCGAUGCUCAUUUAUUAUGAUUUCAAUUUCAACUGAUGAAUCUGAUGGUUUAUUCUAUAAAAUUAGGGACUAAUUGGAAUGCUGAUUUUAUUUGCAGUUAUUUGCUUUCAUUGAUCUCCAUGUUGAAACCUUAGAUGUGGUUUGUGAUUUGGUGACUUACACAUAUCUUAUGGAUUCUAAAAAUUAGGUGGAUUUGCUAAUUUUCCAAAGUAAGCCCACUGGAUUUUCGAGUCCUAUUUCAUUGCAAAAAUAUUAUAAUUCUUAAUUUGUUCUAGACAGCUCUUCGCGUAUCAAUGGAUAGGUGCUUGAUCAGGUUCAUCUGAACUACUUUUAUUUAGACUUUCACAACCUUUUUAAACACGAUUCUUUAUAUGCAUGUGCUUCUAGAUUUCUCUAAAGUGAUGCUAAGACCCAGUUUUUUCUAUUCUUUUACUUUCACUGUUGAAAUUAAGUCUUGUUUGCUUUGCUAUUUGAACAUUCAUUUGAGCUCACAGUUUUGAUCUUCUUCUCUCCCUCUCUCUGACAUGUGAUGUGACUGCUGAUGUUUUUCAUCCUAUUUUGAGUUUGCAAGUUUGGUCUUUGUCAUUUGGAAAUUUAAUUUCUUGAGCUUUUGGACUUACUAAUGUAGAUGCCAACUACAAGAGCUAAAUCUCCCAAGCUUGGUCGCAAGAAGAGUUCAACGAAUUCAGAGCCAGAAGGAAACCUUAGCAACAAUGCUCGACAAGGUCGUUUAAGUCUGGAUGAGAAAGUGUCUCAGACUAACCCCACUAAAGGAAUUAGUCCUGUUCAUCAAAAGAAGCCACAACGAAAGUCUCUUCCUCCGCAACUGACUUCUGAAAAGACCAGGUCAUCCAAUUCUGCGUCUGUGAGGACCUCAUCUAAGGCAGUGAAUGGUGGUAAAAACUCCUUAUCAAGUGUAACAACUGAAGUUACCACCUUAUCCAAUCCAAGAGAGGAAGAGAAAGUUGAAAUAGCUGCAGCCACUGAAGAGAACAAUGUCUUAUUGAAUGAGACAAGUAAAGCUCUUCCUCUGAAUAUAGAGCCAGAUGAAACAGAAUCUCCUGUGAAUGGUGAUUUAGUCAUUCAAGAGAAACCACAGCUCAACAUGGCGCAAGAACCCAUAGCAGCGGAGCACUAAGCAAACAGCAGGAACAGAACCAAAUAUUAACUAUCAGAUCAAUUGAUCGUCUCAUGAAUGUUAUAGAAGCAUAUGACUGAGAGAUUAUUUAACAAUGAAAGGCUUGCAGAAUUUCUGUGGUUUGCGAUGUCAUUUUGUCUUAAGCAGCAUUGCUUCCUGUGUUUGCUCCUAAAGCUUGCUGGUUUUGUCCUUAUGAUUCUCUCCUCCUUGCAGCAAUGUAUGUAACUAUUUUCCAGGUUGUUCUAGUUGAUGUUUAUUUUAACGUGUAACAUUUGUCUGUUUAGUUAAUAUGUUGGCGAAAAUUUUGAGAAAAGUUUGCCAUUGGUGGCUCAAUCACAUUUUGGAACAAGCCGUGUUGUGGACACUCUUCAUGAACCAUAUGAUUGUGUUAGCUUUGCUUUGUGUUAUUAUGCAUCGAUUUUCAGCUCUGGAUUUUACCUUGUAACCGCAUAUGCAUGUGCAAGUUCAGGCAUAGGCAACUCAAGCAAAUAAGUACUUUUACUUUUAUUACAUGUUGUUAGAGUUCAUUACGCAGAUUUUUAUUUUUUUAUUUUUUUUGCUGAAUUGAAAAAAGUUACUGAGAUAAUAUUAUCAAGUCAACAACUCUAAAAAAAAAUAUUAUCUCACUAUUUUAUAACAUUUAGAUACUAUUUAAAGUAACAUUUGAGCUUAUAAUUUUAUAUAUUUUUUAUCCUUAAUAAAAUUUUUCAUUUUUUAUCUCUAUUAAUAUAAUAAUAUUUAUUUUAAUUGUUAAGCAAUUUAUACUAUUUGCUUUUAAUAAGUAUUUUAUCCAUAAACAAAAAUAAUUAGAGCUAAAAAUAAAUUAAAAAUCUUAAAUUUUGAAUGCCUAAAAAUAUUUUUUACUAAUAAAAAAAUUGUGUAAAAAAACAAAAAUAUAUCUUUUAUUUCAUUUUACUUUUUUUUAAAGUAUAAACUAGUUCAACAAUUAACUUUAUAAAUACUUCUAAAUUUUCCUACAACAUCUUCCUCUCUCCCCAUCAUAAAGAAAACAAAACAAUUAUUCUCUCGGUUCCUAACUAUAAGGUAUUUUUAAAAAAUUUAUUUUUUCUUUUUAGAUGUAUUAAUUAUUAUUUUUCCUAUAUAUUUUUAUUUUUAUUUUUUCUCAGAACAUUAAUGAAAAAUAAAUAAACAGAUAAAGAUAAAAAAUAAUAAUUUUAAAAUAAUUGAUAAAUUUAAUAUAAUUAAUUAAAUUCAAUAUUUUUUUAAGGGACCUAAAUUCGUCAAAUACAAUCCUAUGAUUUACUUUUCCCCGUCACCACCGAGCAUUUUGGGGGACAAAAUUGCUUCAAACAAAAGCAGAUACAAGUGGUCUUGGAAACUCUGCAUUUCACAAAUUGGAUUGAAUUAUACAAUCUUAUAAAAUUAAAAGAGCUUCUAGUCAUUGGCGUUUAUAGUUCAAGAAUAAAACUACUUUUCACAUAAAGAAUCGCGUUCUACGAAGUUGAUUGACUCACCAUUCCAUCAGUGGCUAGGACUGAAACCAAGUAUAUGUCCUACGGUGGGAGGAUUCUUAAAUACUCUGAAAAUAAUUCUAGCAGCAAUUGGGAUUUAACUUAAAUAACAUUAUAUGUAUUUAUCCUGACUAUAAGUUUUAGAAAAACAAAGAUACUAUUCCUAGAGUGCAUAAUAAAUUUUAUAGGACAGGCUUAUAUAUGUCAAAAAUGUUAUAAAACUAAAUUUGUUCAUAUAUUUUUUACUUAUUAGCUUAAAUAUUUUUAACCAACAGUAUUGACAUGAGAAAUCUCUUAAACAUGUGGUAUUUAAGUUUAAUUUUAAAAUAAAUUUCGCUAAUUCUUAUCUUGGUUAAGGAAUUAAUAAACAAAUACAUAAAUAUUGAUAACACUAAAUAUUGGAGUAAUUAUAUUUGCAUACUCACACUUCCUCUUAUCCUUUGACCAUAUUUUUCUUCAUAUCUUUCUCUUCCUUUCUCCCCACAUCACUUAAAUAUUUUAUUGUUUUUUCUUUCUUUCUUUCUUUUUUCUUUCUAUUCCUCACUUCAUUAUACCCAUCCAGCCCAAAUUUAGGGUGGAUAUUCAACAUUUUCCUCUCAAUUAAAAACUUGUUUAUAUUGAAUUCAUUCAUAGUGAUAAAUACAAAAAAAAAAUGCAUCUUAAGAUUAUUUCGUACCAAAAAAAAUGAUUAAUUUUUCGUUUAUUAAUUAAAUGAGAUAAUACUGUAUGAAACUAAAAAAGAUUCCUAACUUUAUAAGAUAAUUGAUUCGUGAUAUAUUAUCAAAGUCUCUAUAAUUAAAAAAUUUAGAGUUUGAUUUUUUUAUCAACGUACUCUUUUAAUUCUUUAUCUUAAAAAAGUUAACAAACAGUAGCAUGUAUUAUUAACGCGUCAAACUCGGUUGUCUGUUCUGUUCACCUUUCUUUGUAUAUUUUUGGUGGUUGGUGGGAGGUUUCGUAAGUUUAAUCCCACAGUAGUGAGAGUUUGUGUGCUUAACUAUCAUUUUAUUCUCAAUAUUAUUAGUUAAAUGAUAAUCAGUUUCCUAUAAAUAUUAGUUAAAAAAUUUAAAGUAAAAAUAUUUUUAUUAAAAGAAAAUUAUAUUAUUUGUGAUUAUUUUUAUGUUCACCUAUAAUUUAUGUAAUAAAUAUUCUUUUCUUUUAACUUUUUAAUCAAUACUUAAAAGAUAGUGAUUAACCAGACUCAUAUUUUUAUUAUGUGUAACCUUGUUCAGUUUCAAUUGAAAUAAUUAACAACUAUCGUGUUCCAAGGGUGCCUGGGUCCUGAUUCCUGAAUAACUGUUGAGUGUCUACGCAGUACAAAUUCUUUGUCAUAAAUGCAAUGCAUGUAUCUUAUUUUCUGGUCGUUUGGUUGCUUUAUUUAUUAACACCAAAUCCAUCACACAAGGUCCCAGUCAUACAACCAAAAGCUGAAUAAAUAAAUAAAUAAAUACUCCCCUCUGACAUUAAAUUUAAGGCAUGAGAGGACUCAUUCUGGCUAUAUAUAUAUAUAUAUAUAUAUAUAUAUAUAUAUAUAUCGGGCUUUUAUCCCAUUAGGUUCUCCAUAAACUUUAUUAGACAAAGUAAACAACAAUACUUUUGAAGAUGAAGGUUGUGCAACCAUCAUUUUUAUUUAUUUAUAAUAAAUUAGCUAUCAUACUGACUAUAAGAAUCUACUUGCUGAUUGUAUAUUAGAUUAAUAUUUGUAUUGUUCCCGCUACACUACCCAUACCAUAGGCAUCAAAGUUGGGCUUGUCUUCCUUCCAGGCUGAACCCAUGAUAAACUAUGAAUAUUAAUGAAGCUUCGUUUGAUAAUGUUUCUUCACUAGCGUUACCACAUGUCCUGUUAGAAAUCGUGUGUAGUCUUUUCAAAUGAUACAUCAAUAGUUGCUUUAUGAGAAUGCAUGUGGAGUACAUGUGCUAUUAUAGAAACUCUGACCCUAUUGUCUUCUACCAAACGAAACUUUGCAUUUGAUUUUAUGCAAUAUUUUACCAAGGAAGUCAGGUCUGGCGACAGCAGAAUUUACUUCACUUUGUUACUGGUCACGGGGUGAAUUGAAUUCUGCACUUGAUCAGCAACACCCAUCUUCCAUUCAUUCUAGUUCCCACCCCGGUUAGUAGUAUUGAACAGUUUUAAAUCUUUUUACAUCAUCUUUCUUAAUAAUACUUUUAAUUACUAAAUAAAAAUAUUAAUUUUGUAUAAUAACAAAUGCAUAUAAGUUAACUUCUACAAAUUAACUUUAGCACAAACUAGUUUUAGCUUACAAGAUAAACUUAUUUCAGUUUCUUCUCCCAUUUUCUUGUCCUAUAAAUUUAUCCAAACAUGGAAAAGUUUAGUUUCAAGGCGAGUUUUUGGACGGGCUUACAAAUUUUCAUUCAUUAUUUUUCAUAAAAUAAACAUAACAGUACAAGGGGCAUAUCUCAGUAAGUAUCAUUACAUGAUAUAGAGGUUACAAUGACAAGUUCCAAAAAAAAUGAAGCCUAAAAAACAAGGGCUUUGGUAGUAAAAAAAACAACCCAUCCCCCAAAGGGAAAAGAUUGUGACGACAGACCUGUAUAAUAACUUGCUGCCAUGACCAAAGCUCCCGAUGACAAAGGCUUCAUAAAACUCUGAAGAACUGCCAAAGUAACCAGGACAACAUCACCACAUAAACUGGAACUUCAACAUGCCCCUUGACUAAAACUUAGACCCAAAAAUCGCGUACAGAGCAUAAGCUCAAAUACGUUAAAAAUUGGGUAAACACCACUGGAAAGACUCGAUACAUGUACUGCUGCAAAGAAACAAGGACAAGGACACACAUGGUGGCAAAACCGAUACAAAACAGUGCUAAAAACAUCGGGUGCCAACACUGGAAAGAAAAAUACCUAACUCCAGAACUCGGUAACUAUGCUGGCAGAGAUAAACAGCCAUUUUGAAAGUGGCAUCCCAUCAACGGAGUGCCAAAAAACUCGUAACAGAUUUCCAAUUAAAGGAAACCUGCAAAAAAGAGGUUUAAAUAUAACUGUAUGCUCUGGAAAAAAGAGAACCGAGUACUGGAUGAUGACCAAGAUCCAUCGCGAAUGAACCCAAAAACACUAACGAUCAACACUAACUAUAAAAGCUGAGGCAUUUUCCUGUUCAGUAGAGGAUGUCACACAUGCAGAGAUGUCCCAGAAGCUUGUCAACUGAGCGGCUGCUGAUUGCAUUGCAAAGCUUGAUAUUUAAUCCAGCAAGGGAACGGCCCAAUUUUUUCAAUGCAGGCACGCUCUUGUCUGAAACCAAUGCGCAACCUGCCAAAGAAAGUACCUCCAGGUUGAACUGUUUUCCUCGGGCAAGGGCUGCGAUACCAGUAUCAGUGAUUGCACACCUGGAAACAUCGAGAUCAGCGAGCACUGGGCAACUACCUGCAAUAGCCAUCAAGCUAGCAUCACUGACUCUUUUACAACCAUCAAGGCUUAGCACCUCGAGAGUCCAUCCAUGUGAGUUAACCAUGGACAAAACUACUCUGUCCGUCAGAUUUACACAACCACUUAGAUUAACUUUAACCAGACCAGCCUCAGAGCUCUCCAGCAGUGGAAGAAACCCUGCAUCUGUUACUCCCUGAAGUCCACUCAAUUCAACAUGCUGAAUCCGAGGACACAGCUUUCCAAGUAAAGCAAGGUUAGCAUCGCCAAAUCCAGGGCAGUCACGGAUUGUUAAUGACCAAAUUGAUUCAGAAGGAGAUAUUGCAGGCAAUUCCAUAUUGAGAUCUUUGAUCCCAUAGCAGCUAAUCAGAGUAAGAACCUUCAAUUUUGCACCACAGUUAAAAAAGACACCAAAGAGCCCAAUUUGGGUAAUUCUGUGGCACUCUUGCAAUUGUAGGCUCUCAACUGAUGGAGCAGCCCUGGCAAACGAUACCAAUCCCUUGUCUGACAGAAAAGCACACUUCCGAAGCUUGAAGUUUUGCACAUUUGGACAACCCCUUCCAAUAGCUUCAAGCCCAACAUCUGUUACUCCUCGGCAGCAAUCAAUUGUGAUUGAAGUUAGUUUCUGCAGUCCAUGGCCAUUACCCAUAACCCAGAACCCUUUCUCACUGACAUUUGGGAGGCAACUUAGGACAAGAUCGGUAACUGCAAUGCCGUAAUGCCCAAUCACUGCUAGAGAGAGAUCAGAAACAUUCAGCGACUCAAGCUUCACCUUUGUUAGAGCAAAAGAAGCUGAAGACAACACACCAGCAACUCCCUGAUCACCAACUCCAGAGCAAUCCUUGAUUGAGAUAGACCUUAGAUUGGGACACUUCCCAAUAGCUUGUAGACCUUCAUUGCCAAUGUUAGGACACGACUCUAUUGAUAACUCAGCCAGCUUUGGACAGUUCUUUGCAACUGCAAUUAAAGUCUUGUCAGAAAUAUUAGGACACUUGCAUAGGUCAAGCUUCUCUAACCGGUGACACCCGCUAGCAAUCUCAAUCAAGCCUUCAUCAUCAACAGUAGCAACAUCCCAUAGAGAGCAAACCUUUAGAGAAGGGCACCCAUGAGCAAUUGCCUUGAGACCUACACUAGUCACCCCACGAUCUGAAUUGCAUCCACGAAUUGUAAGCUUCCCCAACCCUCCUCGAGAGGCUGUCCCAAUGGCAAUGGCAGCAAGUCUUACAUCUGUUGCCUUCUUUCCCUCCAAGCUUCGGGAUAGGUAUCCUUCAUCACUAAUUUCCUGAUUUUCAUUUCCAGUACUUUCGUUGCUGUAAGUUUCAUUCUUACAAAUACUGCUCAGAAGCAUAAGCCAGCGCUUGGAUACAGAAGCGCAGACACUCCUAUCUUGGCCUGCAGGCAACCUUCUAAGGAUCUCAAAGAGGCAUUCAUCUGGCAAAGAUUCAAUAGAUGUCUUAGGCUUCUGCUCAAACCAUUCUCCACUGAUAUCAAAUGGAACACUGAAGCGAGACCUCUUCUGAAGAGGAAGGUAAACAUCAACUUGACGGCCAAGAGACAAGAAGAGACACGGUUCCUUCGGGUUAGGAUAAAUAGGACCCCCAUGAUAAAAAUCAUCAUUUCCUGAAAAACCAAACAUGUCGAAGGUCAAGAUGGCGACAAAACUACACAUAAAUAAAUAAAUAAAUGUGAAUUCACACAAGUAAAACCACAGAACGGAUCUAUUCAAUAAGUGACAGGCUUCAACAAACAAUAGAAACCAGAUAUUUUCAUGAAGCCUUUAAAGGCAACAGCUGGCUCAGGUCAACUAUGAACAAAAUUGCUGAUCUCACUCAAAAGUUGAACCUUCUGUUAAGUGAUCUCAAAAACAAGAUCCAAUUUCCAGUAAAGACUACACACACACACACACACAAAUGACAGACCUUGAAUCUCUCCCCAUCUCUCAUCAGAUCCACCGUGAAAAACAAAAAUUCAAAGAAUUCAUCACUCAAAACCCAAAUAAUAAUUUUUGGCCAACCAAACAACAAAAUAAACAUAAAUAACCCAAACUUCAAUUUCAUAUCUAAGGCAGCCUCCAAAUAACAACCACAACCAAUCAAAAAAAUUCACAGAAAUACAUAUACAACAGCCAGACCUAUGAAUCGGCAAAAACAUGCGAUCAAACAAAAAGCUUACCGGUAAAGCUGAAGACUUUAGACAUGGGCACAGUUCAAAAAACCCCGGGAGGUGAAAUCUGCUCUGUUCCACACAAAAGAAGGCUUCAAAGACAGCGAAGAAGAGGGCAACGAAGAAGAAGAACUCGUGAGAGCAAAAAUGCAUGGAAGAGAGGGAGAGAAGGAGGAAACCCUAUGAGAUAGGGCAAAAAAAAAACAGAGAGAGAGAGAGAAAGUGGUGGAAAGAGAAAUGAAGGUCUUGGGGUAGUGAAAGAGAGGUCGUUUUAUUGCAAACAGAUUCGAGUGCACUGAAUGGGAACGUUCCCAAGUGCAAUGUAUCUGAACAUACAAAGUGGGGUUUCUUUGUAUUAUUCUCCCACAAAAUGAAUACCAGAUACCACAUACAUAGUGGUUUUCUUUUCCCCUUAUUUUCAUAUCUUGUCUGGUAGGGGAUGUUUGGGUGAACGAAUGUUGCACAAGCUAUUAUUUUGGAAAGGUAUGAUAAUUUACUGAAUCAGUAUAAUCUCUCUAUAGCACAUAUUUAGUGUGCGUUUGAAUUACAUUAUAAUAAAAUUGAUUUUGAAUGAAAUUAAUUUUAUAAAAUUAAUUAUGAUUAUAAUUAAUUAUGAAGUAACAUAAUUUUUGUUUUGAUACCAGUUAUUAGAAAAAGUUAUUUUUUUAAAAAAAUAUAUGAUUUAAAUACUUUGAAUUAAAAUUGAUUUGAAGUGUCAUGAUCAAUGUGUUUUAUGUUUAUAUACACUUAAAAUUAAAUAAGCAUGAUUAAAAUUAAUAAAAAUAUGUGUAUAAUAUGCUUUUUGAAAUAGAACCACUCCUUUUUACAAAACAUUAAAAUUGAAUAGAAUAGAUAAUAAAAGUAUUAAAUUAGAACAAACAUUAAAUAUAAAUGUAUCUAAAUUAAAAAGUAUAAAUAAGAAAAAUAAUAAACAUAUGCAUGAUAAUCAAACACAUGUAAUUUUUUUUUUAUUAUUUCUCCUUAUUGCUUCAAUUUUAUCAUUGAUUUUUUUCAUCAAAAUUAAUUCUACCAAGAUAAUCAAACACAUGUAAAAUUUUGGCCAAAAUUAAGUUCGACCCAUUUGAUCUUGUUUCACCUUGAUUUUAAAGUCAAUCAAAAUACUUUUUUUUUUUACUGCAAUCCAAACACACACUUAAUAUUUGAAUUCUUGUUUAUCCAUUAAUAUAAUUUUAGGUAAAUGUUUAUUUAUUUUAUUCAAUUUUUUUUUCAAAACUAGUUAUGCAUUUAAUUUGUAUUCAUGUUUUUCUAAAAGAAAAAUUAACCAAAAUACACACUUAAUAUUGCUAUAUUACUUUUUCUAAACUUAUAUAUAUAAAAAUGUCUGAAUUUAGUGGAGUAAAAUAUAAGCAAUUUUUUAACUAAUUUAAUUUUAUUUAAUUUCAUUAUUCUAAAAAUACCUUUAAGAGUUAAUUUUUUUAUAUAAGUAGGAAUUUGUAUUAAAUUUAUAUAUUUUGUUCAACCAACUGAACUAAACUUUUUUAUCCUUUAAGUUAAUUCAAAUGUGUGGUGAGGCUAUCUCCAAUAGAUAUGAUUAAGGAUAGUUUAUAAAAUAUAUUUUUUUCACGUGAGAUUAAGAAAAUUAAACAAAUUUAACUAAUAUGCUUAAUCAUUGCAAAAUUAACUAUGUUUGCUUGAAAGGUGUACUGUGUUUUUAUAUAUCAUAAUUGGUACGCAUUAAGUUUGUAAGAGAGGUUUAACUUAAUUAGUUCAACAUGAUCCCUGAGUUAUCGGUUGAAUCAAAAUGAUAUUCAUUCAAAAUUUAUUUUUUUGGAUUUAAAAACUAUCAAAAGAGAGGACUUUUUUUAUAAAAAAAAGUAAAACCAGAGAAGAAAACAUUAUUAUAAUUUUGAUUACAAAUUUAUUGUGUUAAUCCACCCUAAUAUUUCCUCCGUGACUUUCAAAUUUAAUCCCAAAAGGCCAAAACAUAAAAACUUUGGAUUUCAUGCCUUCCAAAAUAAGUUUUGAUACUGAAAUUACAUAAUGGUAUGGAUUCUAUACCAGAAAACAAUAAAUAAAAAUGUUAAAAAAAUAAAGUAAAUUAUACUUGGACUUCCUAAAAUUUUGUGAAAUUACACAAUUUUUCUUAUUUUUUUAAUAUUUACAAUUCCCUGGAAACAUGCUAUAAUGUUUUAUUAAACAAUUAAGAUGGAUUAUAGUAAUAUAUAAGGAGUGCUUGUGUAAUGUUUUUCAACCAGUUAAAGGAAUCAGUGUGAGGGUAAAAAAAAGCAGAACAAAUUUAUAUAAAUUCACUAAAUCUCAUGAAUAUUUAAUGUAAUUUACUAAAAAAUCCUUCAAUAUGCAUGUUAUAAGUUCAUGAUUUCAUUCAUUUUUAGCGGUAUUUAUUUACAAGGCAGGUCCAAUGAACAUGGAGACAUAAAGGAAAUAUUAAAAUUAUAUAUUUUAAUGAAAUAAAUUAAUGAAGUUAAUUCAUUCAUUUUUACAAGUUUUUAUUUACAGAGUAGGUUCAACGAACAUGGAGACAUAAAGGAAAAUUUAGAAAUGAGAUAUGAUUUAUAGUUUUAAUAUAAAUUUAAUGAAAUGAAUUUAUUAUUUAUUCUAGUUUUAACGAAGUUAAUUAAUUAAUUAAUUAAUUCAUUUAUUUAAUAAAUAUUUUAAGAAUAAAAAAAUAUAAAAGAUACUUAAAUUAGAAGUUAGUAUUUUAAAAAUAUUAUAAAUUACUAAAUAAAUUUAUUUAAUGAACAAUAAAAAACCUUUUCGACUAAAAAAAAGCUAAAAACUAAUUAGAUAGCUUGUCAAACAUAACCUUACUUAAUUCCAAAACAUGUGAACUUUGGAUUUCUUGCCAUACAAAAUAAGUUUUGAUACUGAAGUUAAAUAAUGGUAUGGAUUCUAUAUAAAAAAAAACAAAAAUAAAGUAAAUAUACUAACAUCUCUUGAAAUUUUGUGAAAACACUAAUUAUUCCAACACUCCUUAUAUAUUAUACUAAUUCAUCUUAAUUGUUUAAAAAAUAUUACAACAACGAAUGAUUUAGUUAACUUCAUUAAUCUAUUUUAUUAAAAGAUAUCAUUUUAAAUUUUUCCUUUAUGUCUCCAUGUUCAUUGAACCUACCUUGUAAAUAAAUACCGGUAAAAAUGAAUGAAAUCAUGAACAUCUUAUUUUUAGUAAAUUACAUUAAGCAUUAAUGAGAUUUCAUGAAAUUAUAUAAUUUUUUUAAAAGUAACUAUUAUAAAAUUAUUUUUUAUACAUGUCAAUUUAUGAUUAGACAAGAGUAAAAAAAAUUACUGUUUUCAAUAUAUUUAAAUUAAAUUCUUGGUAUACCUAUUAAUUUAAAAGUUUCGUUUAAAAAAUAAUUUAAUUAAAAAAUUAGAAUGCAAUGUAUCGCAAAUUAGGGGACAACUCUUAUUUUCUAUAGGUUAAUUUUUAGGGUUAAGUUAGACACAAAUUUAAAGUUUAAGAUUAUUAGCCAACUUAACUUAAUUAGUAUAGUUUAGCUAAUUAGAGUUACUAAACUCAGUUUAGUUAGUUAUACCAAGUUAGUUAGAGUUGGUUGGUUAGUUGAGCUAUAGUAUAUAAACUCUUGUAUCAACUUCUCUCACAAUUAAUCAAUAAUAGCAAGUUGAUCGAUUCUGCUAACUCAUCUUCUGUCCUCUUCUUUACACUGCAAGCUACUGUAGUUUUUCUCCUCCAUGUUCAUGGUGAUAUUUGUGAAAGAUUAUAUCAUAAUAUCUGUUAGGACAAAAGAUAAAUGAUGUAUUCUUAAUUGUUUUGAUUUAACAAAUAAAAUGCCUUAUGUAAUAAGAUAUAUUCUAUGAUCAACAAAUCAAGUGUUUUGAUUAAUAUACCUAAAAUCAAAAUGUCUUUUAUAAGGAGUUAUGAAAUAAGACUCAUAAUUUAGAUGAAGUACUAUGAUCAUUACAUAUCCAUGUCUUUUAUUGUAUGUAUGUAUAUCGUCUGUCUUAGAUGCAUGAUUUUUUUGAAGCACACAAUUAGUUGUAUUCUGAUCGAGUAUCUUAUACGAGAAAGUGCAAAACUGUAAAUAGGAAGGUCAACAAAGUAUAUUACAUAUCAAAAGGCUUGCUUAUGAAUAAGAAAGAGAAUGUCAAUAUACUUUCUUAUUCAAAAGGAAACAUCGUCUCUACCACAAGAUUUCGUGGAUGAGAAAUAAGAGAUAACACAUGAUGCCUUAUCUUAUUAAAAUAACUAAUUGGUAAAAAAAUAACAUUAAAUGCUAUGUUAAAUGCUUUAACCACCAUUUUUCUCAUCUUUUUAAAGACAGACAAAAAAGAUGAAGGAAACUCUCUGAAAAAGCUCAUAAGAAAUAUAUUUCAAGAAGUUCCUAUAAAUACAAAAGAAUAUUAAUUUGUACAAGAUAUACAUAAAAGAGUUGGCAUUGUUGAAGAGUCUCAGUGAUUGCUUUUUUAAGCUCUAUAGACCUUGUAAAGUUUCCUUGUAGUUAGUUGUAAAUCUAAGAGAGAAAAUACUAGUGCUUACAGUACUUGUAAUAUAAGUUAUUCAUUGAUUGUUCUCUCUCGGGUUCGCACGUAUUCUUUAGUAUGUCCAAAUUCCAGGUUCGUUGCUUGGAGGUAAAUAUCACCACACCAUCCUUUGUUUAUAUACGAGUCUUUUGCCUGCCAACUAAUUUUGACCCAAACUAGGGACUUUCCUGUAAUUAUAAUACCAAUCAUGCUCUUUCACCCCACAAACAUGCAAUGUACUUGGAUUAUUAUUAUUAACAUAGCAUAACAUAAUAUAAACAGAAAGUGAUCGCCUUUGCCCUUAUUCUCGAAUAUUGUCGUCCACUUGGGUUAAUAUAUAGUGAUAGUUUGCAAGUCAAUUCCCUUCUUGAAAUCGCAACCUUGGACCUAGCUAGGGCUGAAAAAUCAAUAUUCCAAUAUCUUUCGUGCGAUAUGAUGUUGCCAACUCAUCCAAGAUUCGCAAGUGUGGUGCUGCGUACCUGCUGUAUUUGACUAUUCUAAGGUAUCAUCCCUUGCUUCUUUGCAAUGCUUUUUUUAUCCUCCAUAUUUUUCUUUUAAUUUGUUACGUUUCCCCCCUUUUAGGUUAAUGAUAAUAAUGAUUAAAACAGUCAACUUGGAAUAGAAGUUUAUUUACGCUGAUGAUUGUAUAUUUGAAUAGUGAAUAAAUAAAAAUUAAUUUAAAAAUUUAUAAAAGUUAAUUUCUGAGAAAAUAAUUAACUAAUUUAUUUAUUUUUAUAUUGCGAUUCUGAGAUUUUGUUCUUAAACAUGGGCUAUUUUCUGUUUAAUUUUUUUACACAUGAUUUUAUAAUUAUUUAAUAGUAUUUGUGUUUUUUAAUUUUAAAUUUAACAAUUUCAUCAUGACUGUCUCACAUUGUCAGUAUUCUCAUGAUCAACUAUAUCGUUGUUGUUGUUGUUGUCAUUUUUACUGUUCUUACUGUGACAUUUUUUUCUAUCAUGAUUACAUUGUUGCGAAGGAUACAUCUUAUGUAUACAAAAGAGUGUUGAUUACAUAGUAAUGGAUUUGGCUUCUCAGCUGUCCCUUUAAAAUUAUAUAAUUUUCAUGAUUUUUAAAAUUAAAUGUCACCAUUAAAUAUUAAUACAGUUGUUAUGCAGUCAAAUUGAUGAGGCAACACGAGAACAAUAUACAAAGGGACAACAAAGAAGUCAAAUCCCCAUUACUAUAUAUCAACUUUAGUUCUUGAGCACUUAUAUUACCAUACUAGUAAUUAUUAAGACACGUUUAAAUCAAGAAUCAAGAAACAUGUUAACCAGCCUUUAGGUCCAAUUUGGAGGCUACAGGCUCACGAUUAUUUAUUCUGCAGUUCUCUCUUUCACACCCCUCUUGCUGAUUUUUUUUCUUCUUGUUUUACAAAAUCACAUGCAACGUAACUACAUGCUAAAAACUGAAAUUCAAGACUAUUAAUGAAGUUAUAAUAACUUGGUCUUAAUCUAUUCACAUGCAUGUUAUAAAACCCUUUAGGUGUUUUGUCACUCGCUGCCGUAUAUUUUGUCUCACUCUCCUUAUUAUCUUUGACUCAAUGUUACAAAUGCUGCCUAUGAAGCAACAUCACCAUGGUGCUGUACGUCUGUGACACACAAAAUAAAAUAAAGAAGCGUGCCGUUUCUUCUUAUUUCUCAUGCCAUCACAUUCACAACAUCAUGCCACUAUAAGUCACUAUCGGAAGCACACAGAAUUUCUUCUUUCAAAACUGCUAUAACAAAUAAAAAAGUUUUGCAGAAGUUAGCAUUUCAUUUCUUUAAAACCAUACAUUAUAAUUUAUUAAUGAAUAAGAUUUUGGCUUCACAUUUUAAUUUAUAUGUGUAUAUUUUUAUUAUAAUUUCAGAUAUUAAUUUUUUCUAAUAAAUAAUUAUAAGUGUAACACUGUACUUUAUUUUUCAAUUAAUAUACACAUUUUCAUUUAAUAGAAUGAUAGAACACAAACUCUUAAUAUUUAUCGCACCACCAAUAAAAUAUUAUUAACAUGCAUGACAAAAUUUAUUAUAUUUAUGCCAUUUGAUUUUAUUAUUUAAACUGAUUUUCUAUGUAAAACAUUUUUAAUUUAAAAAUCGUCAUUAACCCCAGAUGUUAUAGACUUCGUCUUGGCAAAGUUUGAAUUUACCAUCCUGGGAGCUUUUAGAAUUUGAUGCAGUUCCUGAAGUUUAUUUUCUUCAUUUUGUCAACUGACAGUGCUUGUGUUUGUUUUCCCCUAAAUUCUAUUUAAUUUGGGCAGGUUGUCCAUCACGAUCUUUUUAUGUGGAAAUUAAUCUCCUCUUGCGUGAAACUAUGACUACGCCACUUUAACAACUAAAUCAAAUUAAAACAAGAUGAAACGUCAGAAUUUAAAAGUGACACUCCUAGUCCUAAGUUAGAACGCAUAUAGAUUCUGCUUCUGCUUGAGGUGGAAUUUGACAGUAUCCUUAUUCCUUGGAACUUUGUUUUCUGAAAUCUAUACAAAAUUAGAAAAGAGAUGGUAGUCUUCUACUGAGGCAAGAAACAGAUCCGUGUUCGCAUGUUUUUUAUGGUAGAAUUUUACUUUCAUGCUAAUAAAUUCAUUUUCUCGUCUGUUAUUAUAAGUUUUUAUUUAUUGAAUUGUUGCAAGCUCCUUUCAUGACAAAAGCUGAAACCAUAAUACAAACUGCUAUUACUUAAUGUUUUUAGUUAAUGUACAAUUGAGAGUACUGUUUUUGCAGCAUUCUCUAAUUCCACUCAAAUCGGAUAAGAAAUAACAAAUGGCUCAAGAACAUAAACAAGUCCUUCUGCUGAUAAAACCUCUCGUGUUAGUUCUCAAUAUCAGCACUUAGGACAGAAGCUUGCAUCAGGUGAAGCAUGAAAUUAACAUGACAUAUAUUUUUAAUUUCCGUAAUGAUUUUAGUCAUCUAUUUUUUUUUAUUGGUUUUAAUUUUCAUAAUUUUUUUUUAAAUAGUUCUACUUACCAUUUAUUAAUGACGUGACAUGUAUCCAAACACGUCACCUUAAAAUGGUUAUUGACACGACACAAUUAGAUACAUACCACUUCAUCAUUAGGUGAUGAUAAGGACCUUUUUUUUUAUAAAAAAUAUGAGGACCUAACUCAAUAAAACAAAUUGGAGAACUAGAACUACGCUUAAAUAUAUUUACAAUAACUAUAAACAUAUUCAUAUGUCCAUGAAUCACCUUAAUCAGAGAAUUACACAAUUGAUUACUCCCCAGGAAUAUAUUUUUUAUCAAAACACAAAUUGGUGUAAUAUACUUAACGUAGAAAUGACGCCCCAGAAAGAAUAAAUAAAACAAAUUAGUUAAGAGUUUCCCCAUUUAGCUUUAAAAAUAAAAUAAAGUUUCCCCAUGUAUGUACAACUAUCCAGUGGGGAUAUAGUAGGAAGAACAAAUUCUACCUCCCUCUCCCUCUCCCCUAAGAAAUCUAAGAAGAAAAAAACCUGAUUUGUCUGCUUAGUCAUAUAGGCCUUCCAUCUCCCAAAUAUCAACAAGAAAAUCAACCAUUUCCUGUCAGGUAUGAUAUUAUAAUCAGUUAGGGCUUAGGGGGCAUGCAUUUACUGAUUCCCUUGUACAUGAAUAUCAACAAAAAAUAACCAAGUUAUAAUGCAAGAAAGAGAAUAAAUCUUCUCAUGUUCAAAUUUUAUAAAACAAAGUCAUGUGUUUGUCUCUAAUAUUUCUUUCUUGAUAAACAUUAAAUGAGUGGGGCUUUAUAAAAAUUAUUAAAGAGAGAAAUAGAUGCAAAACUUGUACAUGACCUGUCAUGUACAUGGACACGAGAGGAGACAUUCCAAUGAAUGCAAGAACUUACUCCAAGAGGAAUUGGCCGGGGAAAAGGCUUGUUGGUCCCCAUUAGACUCUCAUAGGUGGCAUUCCAACUGUAAAGCAAAAACUAUAGAAUUAGAACUUGACAAACAUUUUGAAAAGUGACUUUGAUCCCUGGAUUGAAUGCUAUAGCUAUAGACCAAUUCCCUAUUUGUAUUGAAAUUUGAAAAUGCUCUUGCACCUGAUCCGUGCAUAUCUUACUUACUGUGGAAGAUUUUUAUGGUCAAAACAAUAAAAUUCCCACUAAUCAAUGAAAUAACAAGCACAGACCAAGGAACAACUGACCAAAGGAAAAAAUCAUGCAAUACUAUCAAUCUGCCUUGCGAAAUGUUCAUUUUAGAUUCUACAGCUCAAUAGUUAAGACUCCCCGAAGAAAGCUUAUAUAUUUAUUUACCUUAUUAUAGGUUCUCCAACUUGUUUCUUAUUCUCAUGCCUUCUGUUUCCAACCCACUGUCGUCUCAUCUGGUUCCAGAGAAGAAGACCUGCAUACAUUGCAAUAAUAAUCAGCUGGAGAUAUGCAAGAAAAUGUAAAAAAUGCAAGAAUGAAAGAAAUAUUCUAGAAUAGAUGCAGAUCAAGGAAAAUACUGGAAAGUAGUUUUUAACUUCAAGUUCCAUAAAUGGAAAUUACACAUGUAAUUAAAGAGAUUACAUCAAGAUGAAAGAAAACACAGUUUACAAGGUACAAAGAGAAAGGAGUAAUAUAACAAGACAAUAUGACAAUCAGUGUCUGUGUAACCAACUUGCCUGAGGGAGAGACAAGAGAAUGAAAGGAAAAAGAAAAGCAUAAAGUGGCUGCUGCAUUGCAGAACCAGUGUUAAAAGUGUGGAAUUCAAGCUAUUUCAGGGCAGUGGGAUUGUAACUGUCCCUCCAGGGUCAAGAUGUUGAAUAUGAAAAAUCUAUGACAAUAUUAAGAUACCUGACAGUUAGCAAAUAAGUCUGGCAUGAUUCUAUUAACAGUUUGAGCAAGAUUGUUUCCACAUCAGAGAAAAUGGCUACCAGGAUGAUACAAGAUUACAAGCACCCUUUGAUAACGUAUGAGACUAACUAAUAAGCCAACAGAGAUAAUAGAUAAGCAGACUAUAACAGAAUACUUGCCAUGAUUGACAUAUUCAGAAGAAUCAAUCUGAAUGUCAGCACUACUUUGAGGAUCAGAAGGUAUGCCAAUUGAUGAGAUGCUUUUCUGGGACUGAAGUGCACUCUGAUCUAUUUCAAAUGCGCUGCUGCUCCAAAAAUCUUCUGAUCUGUUGUCUUUAUUUGUUGCAUGGCCUUUUGGAUUUGGGAAGCAUCCCAGACAACCUCUGCUCUGUUGCAAAGCAGGUUUAACCACAAGCUUGAUUAACACAAAUUAUUAACUAUAAUUAGCCUAUGAGCUUGGAUUAAAAGAAGACGAUGUUGUGACAAAGAAUUGCAGGAACCAGCAGUUCUUUUAUAAGUUUGUUUUUAAAUUAUAAACUCUCUAUGAUAACUAUUUCCUGCACAUAUAGAUAAAAAGAAACAACCUCUCCCUACAGAAUUUUAGGGUAAGAAAUAUGGAAAAUGAUAAAGGGACCUGCUAUAUAUUGGAAUGAACAAAAAGUUCACAUGGGCAGCAAGAGAGAAUAAUCAAGGGGUUAUCAAUUAAGAUAGAAUCAAUAAGCAAAGAUAGAACAAAAAGCCAACCCAGGCUUAUGAUAAGAGGCCAGGAAUAUAACAUCAGGUUCACCUUUAAAACCUUCAGAGAUGCUCAGAAACAACUUCUUUGUCUUUUAUUUCUAUUUUAUCCACCAAAAUCCAUGAUAUUUAGCAGAAAGAUACAUCUUAUAAAAUGGUAAGAAGAUGUCUUCAAUUUGAGCAACAAUAAAUUUCCUGAAACUAAUUUCUCCUAAUACUGAAAAGGUCCCAGUAAUUGGGGCCUUAUCUGUUCCAUGGCAGAAAGCAGAAGAACAAAAGCAAGCAUGGCAAAACAGUAAAAAUGAACAACAAAUUUCUUCGUGGAGCAUCUUCUCGAUUGAGUUAACAAGCAGCACCUAGAAUACUAUGAAACCCUAUAGGGACAGAGAAAUUCUAUGCUUCAUAUUACCAGCAUCAGAGGAAUACAAGAGUAACAAACUGUAAAGCCCCAUCAAGUUUCCCUGAUCUCCAGAUCUCACACUUGCUUAGAAAGCAAGCAAGUACAAACAAAGAUUCCCAUAUAUAAUUUAAAUAAUUACUAAAAACUAGAGAGAAAGAUCUAAAACUAAAUUACCCAGAAGAGGCAAAACAGUAUAAAAACAUCAAACUUUCAGUUUCAUAUAAUUAGAGAAGUAUAAAAUCAGCAACACCCCAUCAACCAAGUGAAGCAACCAUUUCAAUGCUUUCCUUUGAGGCAAAGGCAAGUGAUCUUACAUCCCAAUUUCUAAGUUCAUUUUCUUCCCUUAAAUUGUUCCAAAACCAAAGACCCAAAACUCACCGAGGAAUCUGAGCAAACUACAUAUUUAUUGAAGGGAUCUCCUCACGGUUUAGUCAAAUUGGGAAGAACAUACAAGUAUAUUGAUGUGAAAAAUUCAAUCUUUUAUAAUUUUUCUUUUCUGGGACCAAUGAAACAAGGAGAGAGAGAACAAAUAAGUUACCCCAUGCAAGCGAGAAUCUGACAGAACCAAGGUGGAACAUAUCCACAGAUAUGCAUUUAUGGAAGUCCGAGCAGAGAUCUGUCACCUAAAAUUCUGAAUCCAGGACGAAGAUCACUCAGGAACCUGCAUGCACAAUUUCAUUCUUUCUUCUUUUUUAAAAUGAAAAUUGAAAAAGCAGAGAAUCUCUUAUCAGAAUUUAAUAAAGCAAAAUAGUACUAACAAAUAAUAAACGGGGGGACAAAAGCCUUUAUUCUAGUUGUUUGGUUCUUUGAAUUAAGAUAAUAAAUCAAUAGUAAAAGAUAAAUAUUGGAACAGAAUCAACAAAUUCAGUAAGAAACCUCAAAUUCUGCCAGUUUGGUUACACAAGCGAACCAUGGAGUGAUUCAGAAAAGAAGCCUCAAAGAUGACAAUGACAUGCACGAAGGGAAAUUUCAGUGCCCCUUCCUGAAAUCAAGGGUUUAUUUUCAAAUGCUUAGAUAAGAUGAAUGGAAUUUUGUGCUCUAGAAUGGGAAAUAGAGACGGUAAGCCAACAACAUUCUUUUCUUUUCUUCAAUUUUUCUUUCAGAAUGUUUACGAGAAUCUUUAAAUCCAUAAUUAAUUAGUUAAAGGCAUUUUUUUAUAUAAAAAGUUAUGAAAAUCAUAAAUUUUUAUAUAUUUUUUAAAUUUAUUUAUCGACUUCUUAACUACUAUCUUAAAAUAUUCAUUAAAAUAUUUUUAAUAAGAAAUUUUGCGUUUUACUUUUCAAUUCAUUUUCAUGAGACAAUUCUGUGUACCCCUAUUAGACCAAAAUCUACUUGAUUAUGAUAUUAUAUAAAUAAAAAAUAAAAAAUGUAAAAUAACGCUUCCUACUCAUAGGUAGUCAAGCUUUAAAAUGAAAGAAAUUAAGGAGGAAAGUUUAAAUGGUAUAUGUUUAAUUUUUAUUUAAGUUUCGUUUAAAAUUUGAGUAUUAUAUAUAAAAAAUUCACUAAAAAACUAUAUAUGAUAAAACAUAUCUAUGAUCUAAAAAGAAUACAUUCUCAUUGUAAAGUAUUUGAAGUUUUCGUUAAGAGAGAAAUUAAAAAAAUAAAUGUUAGUAAAAUAUUUAAAAUAAAUAAAAGAAAAAGAGAACUCUCUCAAUAUAUGAAUACAUGGUUUUGAUGAUGUCAAAAAAUAAUCAAACAAAGUUACUUUCAAUAUUACUUAACAAACAUUUAAAGGUUAAGCAUUACUUCAAGAUUAAUACAAGUUGUUUCAACAAACAAACAUUAUUUCAAGAUUAAUUCAAGAUCAAACUUUUGCCUCAAAAUAAAGUGUUUCCAAGAUACAAGGUUUUGGUAAUCGAUUACUAAAAGACAAUUUUGAAAAACAAUUUUUUAAAAGAAUUUUAAAUUUGAAUUUUGAAUCAUGUAAUCGAUUACCAGAUGUUUGUAAUUGAUUACCAGCAACAACACUUCAGAAAAACACUUUGAAAAGUCAUGACCCUUCAAAAUAUAAUCGUGUAAUCAAUUAGGAUCUUCAAUUUGUAUCAUGCACUCUAAAGGGGUGAAAUCUUUCUGUUCAUCUCACAAAGUGAGUUAUAAUCAAGAGAUUGGUUGUCUUUUGAAUUGAGAGAAUUCAAAGUCUGUAAAGGGGAUUUAAAGAGAUAGUGAAAAAUCUCAAGUGAGUUGUUUGAGGACUAGACAUAGACAUGAGAAGUGGCUGAACCAGUAUAAAUCGAGUUUGCAUUUUAUGUUUAAAAAACAUAAGACGUUACAUUUAUUAUUGUACCAAUGGUAAGGAUCCUUUUAAAUAAGUUCUGAUAUCAUCUUAUGGAUGUGCAUUUGGACCUAACUCAAUUCUAAAAACUAACUAAUCUCUCACUUAUAUAUUCUAUCUUGAUUUUAUCUUUAAUCAAAGUGGGGUUUGGGUUUUUUCGAAUAUCAAUCCCAAUUUCAUAUGCUUGCCAACCAUGUGAACUCCUUACGAAAUGGUUUUCAGUGUAGAUAAAGUUUUUGGCACGUCGAAUAGCAUUUAUAUAAGCAUCAUGAAUGCUUCUAUCAGUGAUGUUAUCUUUCCCACUAACAAGGCCUAAUUCAGCCGCGUCUUCGGGAUCUUGGGGGAAGCCAGAAGCAGCACCACCAUCAAUGGAUCUGAACAACUGAACAUUCCAUGUCUCAUUUUCAUUUGUUGUUGCCACCGUGGAUCGAGGGACAAAGUACUCAUCAAGCUUGCUUGAAGAGAAUAGGAGCUGAUUCCCAACCUGCUUCUCCCACCUUUGUUGAAAAUUGAGCAAAACAUCCCAAGCAACAGACCCUUCUAACAUGCAAUGAAUGUCAUGUCAUGGCUCUCUUGGACUACCUUUCUUGAUGGAAGCACCAGAGAAAUUUGGCUGAUGGAAAUCAUCUUUAUGCACUGUAUCCAAAGUUGAAAAUAGAGGAUGUUCCUGAAUAUCAUAUCUCCCAUCACAAAGAUCAAUGCCACCUACAAAACUUAAUAUUGUUCUCUUUUGUCCUUGUUGUCCCGUAGCAGCACCAGCAACUUGGCUGUCAACAACUAGUCUUUUGGUGAUGAGUGAACAUUGUUGAAGUUUCAAAACCUUGCACUAUGCUUUUCCCAUCAUCCGGGUUCCGUGGACACAAAACACAAUUCACCUUUUUGUUUUUGAAGUAAUCAGCAGUUUCUUGAUCAUGAGCUGCCAUCAAGCCAUUUUUCUUGAAAUCUAGCACAGAGGUUCUGUCAUCCCAAACAAGCAUAAGAACCUUAACACCUUCCUCAGCUUUCAUCUUGGGCAGUUCCCCAAGGGUGAUUCUUGUUCUAGGCUUCAUUGGGUCCCUAAUCAAGGUUAUUUCAGUGUACACAGACCAACCAGUUAUAUGUAAAUAAAGUUCCUAGCACCCAUAAUGGCAUUGUAAAUAUCCUCCCAACAUUUCCUAUAUUACAAGGUUUUCCACUUGACAAGGAGAUCCAUGGCACAAAACCAUCUAAGAUUCUCGUCUAAAAUCUGGAACCAUCUGUCCACUAGGGCACGCAAAACUUGCUCAACUGGGACAUAAGCUCUUCCAAUUAGAGUUGCAUCAAUUGGAUCUUUUUGUUUGACAGUGAAUAUAACAUAGGAGAUCAAAUGGGCACAAUAUAUGUGAAAGGUCUCAUUCCAUGUGGGAUUGGAGGAUUGAUCAUUUAACAGUUUAGUCCUUCCAACCCUUGCCUCAUCUAAAUCAACUGUUGCAUAGAGACCCGUCUCGACAAACUGUGAAACAUUAUUACAAAUUGAGAUUUAGACUAAUUAGCUAGAAGGAAAUGUAAUUAAGUAUGGUGCUUAAAAUAAAAUGUCAAAUAGCUUAAAGCAAAGUAUGUCCAGAAUAUGAAGAUACCUCGGGCUGGCAUUAGCAUUGACAGAGCAAACAACUCUUGAGUUGGGAAAGAAAUCUCUUCCUCACGCUUCUACUUGUACCCUUGUUUACAAAAUUUGAAACCAGACAUGAUCAAAAACGCAAAUAAAACUUCAGAUAAUCCUCUUCACUAGAACAGAUACUAGACUAUAUAUUUGACACAUACUGAAGUAGUUCAUAUUAUGAUGACGAAUUUUUUAGAAAUGAAUUGUAACAACAAAUUAAUAAAUAUCAAACAACUAUGCACGUACUUGGAAUGCAAAGCUUAUUGCUAAAGAAGCUUUAAUCCAUCUACAUUAAUUAAACCGGAAAUAAUUAAGUUGAGUUAUUGUAUAUACAAGCAUAUAAGCAUAUAACUAGUUGAGUUUUUUUUUUUCAAAAAAAAUUUAAAAUUUAUUGAAUUUUAAAAUAAUUUAAAUGUUAAUUUAUGAUUGAAUAAUAAUGUAAAAUUAUUUUAUUAGCACAUAGACAUUAAACUUUUUUUUAAUGGUUGAAAUUAACUCUAAAUUUUUUACAGACUAAAUUCCACAAAGGAGGAAUAUAACCCGUAAUUUCUGUUACAGAUUGUUAUUGAGUGUAAGUAAAGAGGAAGGAAAGGAAAAUGACGAAUAUAUACAAUAAAAAUACUAAAUUUUCAUUUUUUAUUUGUGAGAAAAAAAUAGGAAAAAGAAUUUUUUUAAGACCUACAAGAAAAAAACUUACCUCCAAAGUGACAUGAAAUUGAGUGGUAGAAGAUCUCUCUCUUUUUCAUUUUUUUUCUAGUUUCAUAAAAAAUAAUAGAUUUUUGUAAUAUAUCAUAUAAAGAAUUCAAAAAUACAGUAAUAAAUAAUUUAAUGUUAAGAAAAAAUAUUGAAGUAAAAUUUUUAUUUUUUAGACUAAAUUUAAUUUUUUAAAAUUAGUAUAAAAAAAAUUCAUGCCAUUUUUCUUACUACUUCUAUUAGGGAAAAUUUUGUACUUUUUUCUUUCUUAAUUAUUUUCAUACAUUGAAAUUACAGAUUUUAUUUUAUUUUUAUCCUCCUUAUUUAAUUUUUCCUUUUCACUUCUAAUCUAAGCAGAGCAUUAAUAUAUAUACUAGUCUGUAACUAUAUUGAUAAAAGAAUUGAACAGGAGAGGGAGUUUUUCAAUUGAGGCACCUUGCAGCAGAGAUUGAAAUUCCACUCGUUAAGACUUGGUAAUGUGUCGAUCUCACGUAUGAUCACAUCGAGCCUCCCGUGCAGCAAAUGCCGCAUUAUGUUAUUUACUAUUAAGUUUGAUCUCCCUUUCUGUUUUGUGGGAAAAAAGGAGUGCAAUAUAUAAUAAGCCAAGAGAAGAAGGAUGCGACCAUAUCAACAGAAUACAUGCAUGUUACAGAUUUUAUGAAAUAGCUAAAAUCAAUGACACGCAACAAUGCAAAAGAGAAAUUAAAAAUGUUCUUACAUGGAAAUGGAGGUUAAGGAGUGGAAAAUGUAGACGAUGGUACGGUCCUUAAUCAUAAUGAAGGGCUCUUAAUAUAAUGCAUUUAUAUGCAGAGUAUUGGAGAUGAUGGGUACUGAAAAGGAGGAUAUGAUACAUAUUGUGUCUUAAUUCUCAAGCAAGAGAUAUAUACUGUGUAUAAACAUAACUUUGAAGAAUAGAGAUAUUCUUUUGCGAUUUCUCAACUUGGAAUUAGUUCCCGCCUUAACAUCCAAGGAAUGAAGGAGGCUUAGGUUUCCAUUGGACUAUGAUACACUAUUCUAAUGGGACCUGGAUGGGUUGGAAACUUAGAAUGUCUCAAACGUUGGAUUUGGAUGGAUGUGUUGGAAAUAUAUAUUCCUAAGUCAAAAAGUAUUUCAAGCAUUGUAGCAAAAAGUUGACAACAGAGCAUAACAGGCUGUGAUUUUGCCAUGCGUCUAACGUAUUGAAACUCGAAAGGAGUCACAGUCACGAAAAGAUCACACAAAAUCUAGGCAGUGUCCUGCGUGAGAAUGGGGAGCAUCUGCAGCAAAACGAUGUUAGUAUUUACAAAUGGCAACUAAUGUUUGAAUCAUAUUAAUUGACUUGUAAUUAUUUUAACUUAAUUAGUAGUUUUUUAUUUAAUUAUAUUAAAUAUUUGGAGGGAAAAUUUUGUUAUUUGUAAUAGUCUCAUGAACUUGGACAUGAUUGCUUUCCAUUAAAAAAAAAAAAAAAAGAAGAACCACCCUGAAUUCUCACGGAAAUAAUAACUUACCAGUAAUUAAAAAGUAAGAACCAAAAAAUAAGAAAGCUAUGUGUAACUUGUAAGAGCAUGCCAUGUGAGAGCUUUUAUAAUGACCUUAUAAUACUUCACAGUUUUAUCAUCUUCAUAUUUCUUUUUUAUUUACGACAUUUUGUUUGGUUUGAUUGAAUUUGAACAUAAAAUUUAAAAAUAAAAAUACAAAUAAUUUGUUAUUGGUUAAAAAUCCAACUAAAACCACGUUGUUAAAAUCACAAUAAUGGAAAUAUUUUAUAAUCGGUAAAUAGUUAAUUUAUAAUUAUAAGUGCCUUUAAGUUUCUAGUAUAUACUUUUAAUUUAUACAGAGUGAACAAAAGACGAGCAUGGCAUAGAAAAAAUUGAUGCUCAAUUUUGUAAUCAAUCAUUAAAGACUUUGAUAAAUUAAUUAUUAGUUUUUAAAUAUUUUUUUUGUGAAAACAACUUGUUAGUUUUUAUUUUUUACCAAUUCAUUGUUGUCCCAAGAAGUACGUAUCGACAAUUCUCAACAUGAUCGAGUAAGAUGGGCUUAAAAAAGGUAAGUGCAAGCCCUAGAAUAUUGAAACUGUUUCUCAGAUCUUAGAUGAGGCCCCUCCUUCCUGCACCCAAAAUCAAACCCCCAUCCCAUUAGCUAAGGCCAAGAACAUUCUAAUGUGUAGUUUUAAGACUCAAAUUCCUGGUAUUACAAGUAAGUUUCUGAUGAAACCCCCAAAUUAUGGAUCAAUUUUUGGCAUCUUUCAAAAUUUAGGAAUACGAAAAGGUGA
Molecule: long non-coding RNA, 26364 nt
Filed under: Glycine max (soybean)
Lineage: Eukaryota; Viridiplantae; Streptophyta; Magnoliopsida; Fabales; Fabaceae
Description: long non-coding RNA (GMAX_LNC000751)
Source: RNAcentral